This 73-nucleotide transfer RNA is filed under the name Octopus vulgaris (common octopus). It matches the Rfam family "tRNA". From Rfam's summary of the family: Transfer RNA (tRNA) molecules are approximately 80 nucleotides in length. RNAcentral also lists the same sequence under 1 other name. Lineage: Eukaryota; Metazoa; Mollusca; Cephalopoda; Octopoda; Octopodidae. The record is from Rfam by way of RNAcentral.
GGGGAAUUAGCUCAAGUGGUAGAGCGCUCGCUUAGCAUGCGAGAGGUACCGGGAUCGAUGCCCGGAUUCUCCA